CGAGCCCGGGCGGAGCGGC
This 19-nucleotide small nuclear RNA is filed under the name Arabidopsis thaliana (thale cress). Its description in RNAcentral is "snRNA_02974". The record is from RNAcentral. Lineage: Eukaryota; Viridiplantae; Streptophyta; Magnoliopsida; Brassicales; Brassicaceae.